RNAcentral lists this ribosomal RNA (506 nucleotides) under uncultured bacterium. RNAcentral describes it as "partial 16S ribosomal RNA". It matches the Rfam family "Bacterial small subunit ribosomal RNA", at positions 29 to 523 of the family's 1533-position model. The record is from RNAcentral.
AGUGAACGCUGGCGGUAGGCCUAACACAUGCAAGUCGAACGGCAGCACAGGAGGGCUUGCUCUCUGGGUGGCGAGUGGCGGACGGGUGAGGAAUACAUCGGAAUCUACUCUGUCGUGAGGGAUAACGUAGGGAAACUUACGCUAAUACCGCAUACGACCUACGGGUGAAAGCAGGGGAUCUUCGGACCUUGCGCGAUUGAAUGAGCCGAUGUCGGAUGAGCUAGUUGGCGGGGUAAAGGCCCACCAAGGCGACGAUCCGUAGCUGGUCUGAGAGGAUGAUCAGCCACACUGGAACUGAGACACGGUCCAGACUCCUACGGGAGGCAGCAGUGGGGAAUAUUGGGCAAUGGGCGCAAGCCUGAUCCAGCCAUACCGCGUGGGUGAAGAAGGCCUUCGGGUUGUAAAGCCCUUUUGUUGGGAAAGAAAUCCAGCUGGCUAAUACCCGGUUGGGAUGACGGUACCCAAAGAAUAAGCACUGGCUAACUUCGUGCCAGCCGCCGCGGUAA